GACGAACGCUGGCGGCGUGCUUAACACAUGCAAGUCGAACGGAAAGACCCUGCUUUUGUUGGGUGCUCGAGUGGCGAACGGGUGAGUAACACGUGAGUAACCUGCCCUUGACUUUGGGAUAACUUCAGGAAACUCGGGCUAAUACCCGAUAGGAGCUCCUGCUGCAUGGUGGGCGUUGGAAAGUUUCGGCGGUUGGGGAUGGACUCGCGGCUUAUCAGCUUGUUGGUGGGGUAGUGGCUUACCAAGGCUUUGACGGGUAGCCGGCCUGAGAGGGGGACCGGCCACAUUGGGACUGAGAUACGGCGCAGACUCGUACGGGAGGCAGCAGUGGGGAAUAUUGCAGAAUGGGCGGAAGCCUGAUGCAGCAACGCCGCGUGCGGGAUGACGGCCUUCGGGUUGUAAACCGAUGUCGCCUGUGACGAAGCGUGAGUGACGGUAAUGGGUAAAGAAGCACCGGCUAACUACGUG
Molecule: ribosomal RNA, 468 nt
Filed under: uncultured bacterium
Lineage: Bacteria
Description: partial 16S ribosomal RNA
Rfam family: Bacterial small subunit ribosomal RNA
Source: RNAcentral